GUACUGCUGACGAGUCUCACAAUAGAACGAAAUGGCCGUCCAGUGC
Molecule: non-coding RNA, 46 nt
Filed under: Schistosoma mattheei
Lineage: Eukaryota; Metazoa; Platyhelminthes; Trematoda; Strigeidida; Schistosomatidae
Source: RNAcentral